This 933-nucleotide ribosomal RNA is filed under the name Triticum aestivum (bread wheat). Its description in RNAcentral is "partial small subunit ribosomal RNA". Lineage: Eukaryota; Viridiplantae; Streptophyta; Magnoliopsida; Poales; Poaceae. The record is from RNAcentral.
AUGAUCGAUUGUUUUGGUGUAACAGUGCCGGAGGCGUUUGAAGCAGGCGCAGGAAGCAAAUCCAAGCCAUGCGUCAGGUUCUUCAGUACCGCAGGUUGCCGCUUUGGUUCCAACUGCCACUUCAUCCACGACAUCCCGGGCGGCUCUCAGGCCGUUGCAGAAACGAGCAUCCCGAGUGGCCCAGCUCCAGCUCCAAAAAUAACAGAAUCGGAGUCAUUUCAAACCGGUGUAGGAAGCAAAUCGAAGCCAUGCACCAAAUUUUUCAGUAGUACUGGUUGCCCCUUUGGUGAGGGUUGCCAUUUCCUCCAUUACUUCCCCGGUGGCCACCAGGCUGUUGCAAAGAUGAGCAACCUGGGUGGCCAAGCAUUUGCACAACCCCAAGGAAGAAUGCCAGCAGGAUCUGCUGUUCCAGAUGGCCAACCUACACCAACUGUCAAGACUAAAUUGUGCAACAAGUAUAACACUGCGGAGGGAUGCAAAUGGGGUGAUAAGUGCCACUUUGCACAUGGUGAGAGGGAGCUCGGCAAGCACACGUUCAUCAACAAUUCCAUGCCACCCCGUAUGGGAACAAGGCCCAUCGGCCACUUUGGACCUCCGGCAAUGCCCGGCCCUGCCAUGACCACCCCAACAGGCUUCGGGGCUUCUUCCACAGCCAAGGUCAGUGUCGAUGCGUCCCUCGUAGGUGGCAUCAUCGGGCGGGGUGGAGUCAACACAAAGCAGAUAUCCGGAGUCACUGGGGCCAAGCUGGCCAUCCGGCUGGAGGAUCUCACCGCGGCGGCGGCGGCGGUGAGCAGGGAAGCAACUUCAAGACCAAGCUGUGCGACAACUUCACGAAAGGAUCGUGCACGUUUGGCGACAGAUGCCACUUUGCCCAUGGCGAGAACGAGCUGCGCAAAUCGGCUGCCGCGUGAGGUUGAUCUACCCACCCAUUAG